Molecule: long non-coding RNA, 892 nt
Organism: Drosophila rhopaloa
Lineage: Eukaryota; Metazoa; Arthropoda; Insecta; Diptera; Drosophilidae
Exons: 4
Source: RefSeq, a predicted model, not a curated record
UGCGCGCUUUUCGAGUAAUUUUCCCGACCAUAUGCAGUUGGAAAAGUCGAACUAUCGGGACCGUGUGCAGUGCUUGCGCAAAAGCUUCCGGAAGUCCCCGAAAAAGCUCGGGAGGGAAACUUGAACCGCUUUCACAGAUGCAACUUGGCAAGCUGCACCUACUUACUUGCCCAAAAUGGCGGCGCUGUCGGCGAAAUGCCGAUAAAUCGAAGUUCCCCAUUUGAAAGUGCCAAGUGCCCACCGCAGCGAUACACAGCUGUGGUUAACAUAAUAGUGGUGUAUCAUCUUUAAAUGUACAUUUUAUAAUUUGAAAAUCGAGGAAACUGAAUGAAGUGAACUUCUAAUAUAGAAGGACCCUAAUUUCGCCACUCAAUCAUUAACAAUUUGUGUUAAAGUAAAAGGACGCUGCCCGAGCCACUCAACCAUCGAAAAGUGAUUGCAACCCGAUCCCGUGUCGCUGGAUGUACAUAAAUACCAGUUUCCAGUUUCCGUCGAGCUGAGCUGAGUCCCCGAUGGCUGGCCGAUGUUUAUACGAGUGUGUGGACUGGGAGAUGUCCGGCCUGACGUUUAUGAAAAGCCAUCGCAGCAUCAAAGCCAAUUAAGAUACCGGGGCAGGGCUCGUACAAGCUCUAAAGGAAUACGCGGCUAAUUUCUGCGACAAAGCCGACAAACGAUCGAGUCCAGUGUCUGGGGGCAAGAAGCGGCACUUUUGUCGCAAACACAGGCCGUAAAAUUAAGAACUCUGAUUGGUAACAAAUGUUUUUGUUCAUUCGAGUGAUAAAAACGUAGCGAACCGAAAAGAUAUAAAGUUCUCUUUAGUGUCUUGCCAGCGCGGCGAUGAUAAAAUAUUUAAAUGAGCGCCGAAAUGGGAAGGUUCUCGGCUUUUGGAUAG